AGCAGCCGCGGUAAUUCCAGCUCCAAUAGCGUAUAUUAAAGUUGUUGCAGUUAAAAAGCUCGUAGUUGAAUUUCGGGAUCAAUACGUCGGUCGUGCUUCGGUACGUACUGGUGUCAUUGAUUUCUCCCUUCUGACGAACCAUGAUGUCAUUAACUUGGUGUCAUGGGAAAUCAGGACUGUUACUUUGAAAAAAUUAGAGUGUUUAAAGCAGGCUCACGCUUGAAUACAUUAGCAUGGAAUAAUGAAAUAGGACGUUCGAUCCUAUUUUGUUGGUUUCUAGGAUCAACGUAAUGAUUAAUAGGGAUAGUUGGGGGCAUUAGUAUUCAAUUGUCAGAGGUGAAAUUCUUGGAUUUAUUGAAGACUAACUACUGCGAAAGCAUUUGCCAAGGAUGUUUUCAUUAAUCAAGAACGAAAGUUAGGGGAUCGAAGACGAUCAGAUACCGUCGUAGUCUUAACCAUAAACUAUGCCGACUAGGGACCGGAUGAUGUUAAUUAUUUAAUGACUCAUUCGGCGCCUUAC
This 520-nucleotide unclassified non-coding RNA is filed under the name uncultured Glomus. RNAcentral's name for it is "SSU rRNA". It matches the Rfam family "Eukaryotic small subunit ribosomal RNA", at positions 569 to 1091 of the family's 1831-position model. RNAcentral also lists the same sequence under 1 other name. The record is from RNAcentral. Lineage: Eukaryota; Fungi; Glomeromycota; Glomeromycetes; Glomerales; Glomeraceae.